This 465-nucleotide ribosomal RNA is filed under the name uncultured bacterium. RNAcentral's name for it is "bacterial SSU rRNA". It matches the Rfam family "Bacterial small subunit ribosomal RNA", at positions 329 to 792 of the family's 1533-position model. The record is from RNAcentral.
GGCCAGACUCCUACGGGAGGCAGCAGUGAGGAAUAUUGGUCAAUGGGCGCGAGCCUGAACCAGCCAAGUCGCGUGAGGGAGGACGGCCCUACGGGUUGUAAACCUCUUUUGUCAGGGAGCAAAGGGCGCCACGUGUGGCGUUUUGCGAGUACCUGAAGAAAAAGCAUCGGCUAACUCCGUGCCAGCAGCCGCGGUAAUACGGAGGAUGCGAGCGUUAUCCGGAUUUAUUGGGUUUAAAGGGUGCGUAGGCGGACGCUUAAGUCAGCGGUAAAAUUGCGGGGCUCAACCUCGUCGAGCCGUUGAAACUGGGUGCCUUGAGUGGGCGAGAAGUACGCGGAAUGCGUGGUGCAGCGGUGAAAUGCAUAGAUAUCACGCAGAACUCCGAUUGCGAAGGCAGCGUACCGGCGCCCAACUGACGCUGAAGCACGAAGGCGUGGGUAUCGAACAGGAUUAGAUACCCUUGUA